Molecule: ribosomal RNA, 253 nt
Filed under: uncultured bacterium
Lineage: Bacteria
Description: partial 16S ribosomal RNA
Rfam family: Bacterial small subunit ribosomal RNA
Source: RNAcentral
UACGAAGGGGGCUAGCGUUGUUCGGAAUCACUGGGCGUAAAGGGCGCGUAGGCGGCCUAUCAAGUCGGGGGUGAAAGCCUGUGGCUCAACCACAGAAUGGCCUUCGAUACUGUUUGGCUUGAGACCGGAAGAGGUCAGUGGAACUGCGAGUGUAGAGGUGAAAUUCGUAGAUAUUCGCAAGAACACCAGUGGCGAAGGCGGCUGACUGGUCCGGUUCUGACGCUGAGGCGCGAAAGCGUGGGGAGCAAACAGG